RNAcentral lists this ribosomal RNA (509 nucleotides) under uncultured bacterium. RNAcentral's name for it is "bacterial SSU rRNA". It matches the Rfam family "Bacterial small subunit ribosomal RNA", at positions 777 to 1286 of the family's 1533-position model. The record is from RNAcentral.
AAUAGAUACCCCGGGUAGUCCACGCCGUAAACGAUGGAUGCUAGCCGUUGUCGGGUUUACUCGUCAGUGGCGCAGCUAACGCAUUAAGCAUCCCGCCUGGGGAGUACGGUCGCAAGAUUAAAACUCAAAGGAAUUGACGGGGGCCCGCACAAGCGGUGGAGCAUGUGGUUCAAUUCGAAGCAACGCGCAGAACCUUACCAGCUCUAGACUACACGGUCGCGAGCACCAGAGAUGGAGCUCUUCAGUUCGGCUGGACCGUGUUCAGGUGCUGCAUGGCUGUCGUCAGCCCGUGUCGUGAGAUGUUGGGUUAAGUCCCGCAACGAGCGCAACCCUCGCCCUUAGCUGCCAUCAUUCAGUUGGGCACUCUAAGGGGACUGCCGGUGAUAAGCCGCGAGGAAGUGGGAUGACGUCAAGUCCUCAUGGCCCUUACGGGCUGGGCUACACACGUGCUACAAUGGCGGUGACAGUGGGACGCAAUGGGGCAACCCUGCGCAAAUCUCAAAAGCCGU